GAGUUUGAUCCUGGCUCAGAUUGAACGCUGGCGGCAUGCCUUACACAUGCAAGUCGAACGGCAGCACGGGAGCUUGCUCCUGGUGGCGAGUGGCGAACGGGUGAGUAAUGCAUCGGAACGUAUCCUGGAGUGGGGGAUAACGUAGCGAAAGUUACGCUAAUACCGCAUAUUCUGUGAGCAGGAAAGCGGGGGACCUUCGGGCCUCGCGCUCUUGGAGCGGCCGAUGUCGGAUUAGCUAGUUGGUGAGGUAAAGGCUCACCAAGGCGACGACCCGUAACUGGUCUGAGAGGAUGAUCAGUCACACUGGAACUGAGACACGGUCCAGACUCCUACGGGAGGCAGCAGUGGGGAAUAUUGGACAAUGGGCGAAAUCCUGAUCCAGCCAUGCCGCGUGUGUGAAGAAGGUCUUCGGAUUGUAAAGCACUUUAAGUUGGGAGGAAGGGCAGUAAGUUAAUACCUUGCUGUUUUGACGUUACCGACAGAAUAAGCACCGGCUAACUCU
RNAcentral lists this ribosomal RNA (502 nucleotides) under bacterium enrichment culture clone ALO1_GLFRUDD03G91WN. Its description in RNAcentral is "bacterial SSU rRNA". It matches the Rfam family "Bacterial small subunit ribosomal RNA", at positions 9 to 504 of the family's 1533-position model. The record is from RNAcentral.